This 319-nucleotide ribosomal RNA is filed under the name Salmonella enterica subsp. enterica serovar Newport. RNAcentral describes it as "partial 23S ribosomal RNA". It matches the Rfam family "Bacterial large subunit ribosomal RNA", at positions 911 to 1228 of the family's 2925-position model. Lineage: Bacteria; Pseudomonadati; Pseudomonadota; Gammaproteobacteria; Enterobacterales; Enterobacteriaceae. The record is from RNAcentral.
UGUUUCGGCUAGGGGGCCAUCCCGGCUUACCAACCCGAUGCAAACUGCGAAUACCGGAGAAUGUUAUCACGGGAGACACACGGCGGGUGCUAACGUCCGUCGUGAAGAGGGAAACAACCCAGACCGCCAGCUAAGGUCCCAAAGUCAUGGUUAAGUGGGAAACGAUGUGGGAAGGCCCAGACAGCCAGGAUGUUGGCUUAGAAGCAGCCAUCAUUUAAAGAAAGCGUAAUAGCUCACUGGUCGAGUCGGCCUGCGCGGAAGAUGUAACGGGGCUAAACCAUGCACCGAAGCUGCGGCAGCGACACUGUGUGUUGUUGGG